This 480-nucleotide ribosomal RNA is filed under the name Microbacterium sp. RNAcentral's name for it is "bacterial SSU rRNA". It matches the Rfam family "Bacterial small subunit ribosomal RNA", at positions 279 to 771 of the family's 1533-position model. The record is from RNAcentral. Lineage: Bacteria; Bacillati; Actinomycetota; Actinomycetes; Micrococcales; Microbacteriaceae.
ACGGGUAGCCGGCCUGAGAGGGUGACCGGCCACACUGGGACUGAGACACGGCCCAGACUCCUACGGGAGGCAGCAGUGGGGAAUAUUGCACAAUGGGCGGAAGCCUGAUGCAGCAACGCCGCGUGAGGGAUGACGGCCUUCGGGUUGUAAACCUCUUUUAGCAGGGAAGAAGCGAGAGUGACGGUACCUGCAGAAAAAGCGCCGGCUAACUACGUGCCAGCAGCCGCGGUAAUACGUAGGGCGCAAGCGUUAUCCGGAAUUAUUGGGCGUAAAGAGCUCGUAGGCGGUUUGUCGCGUCUGCUGUGAAAUCCCGAGGCUCAACCUCGGGCCUGCAGUGGGUACGGGCAGACUAGAGUGCGGUAGGGGAGAUUGGAAUUCCUGGUGUAGCGGUGGAAUGCGCAGAUAUCAGGAGGAACACCGAUGGCGAAGGCAGAUCUCUGGGCCGUAACUGACGCUGAGGAGCGAAAGGGUGGGGAGCAA